This 1057-nucleotide long non-coding RNA is filed under the name Homo sapiens (human). RNAcentral describes it as "non-protein coding lnc-TP53TG3-47:1". The record is from RNAcentral. Lineage: Eukaryota; Metazoa; Chordata; Mammalia; Primates; Hominidae.
AUGGCUCUCCCACCCCCUUCUGACAGCCCCUUCCCCGCGGAAGCCCGAGGACGAGGAGGGCGAAGGAGACUGGUUUGUAACGUGAACGAAAAUGAUUCCCUGCUAGCGUGCUUUGAGCGGAACCCGUACCCGAACAGGCCAGAGAGACCUGCCUUUUGGAGUCCAGGAUUCAGAUUUCGUGUCAGAAUCGAAGGUCCAGGCAUCCAGGCCAGGGUGGCAGGGAACCCGCGCACGCAGGCGGCCUGUGCAACGCGGCCGACCGCGGGUGCCACCCUCCCUCCUUGGGCGCCUUCACCCACGCCAGGGCGCGGGGAACAGGGGGCUUUCGUGAGCCAGACAGCAAGGGUGGCCCCUCUGCUGCAGCCCAGCCAGGCUUCGCAGGCAGAAAGAAUCUCCCGACCUGCCGCGGCACUUGGGGAUUUUGCGUUUGCUGCCCUGGCUCUUUCGGAAGUGGCGCUGUCCCACCCUCAGAACCUGGGUGACCUCCGCACCCGAACAGACCAGGGGACCAGGACCCGCAGUACGGUGGCUUUCUUGGGUGCUGUGCUCAAUGGGACAGUUUGGGCCGCUCAGGCUGAGUCAAACAGAUGGCAGGGGGACCAGGACUCGCAGCACGGCGGCCUUCUGGGUGCGUGCUCAGUGGGACAACUUGAGCCGCUCAGACUGAGUCACAGGGGCAAGUUGUGCUUGCGCCACACACGUCCCACAUGAGUCCGUAUUGGGGCUGGGGCCAGGGUCCCCAGGUCGCCAGGGCGCAUGGGAACGUGAAGCCGAGGCACAUCUACCUCCGCAGCUCGCGCCCAUGGAGGCCUCUGCGUGUCAGAAGCUGAUGUAAGCCAUCCAGACACCCUCCCAACCGCUCCAGGAGUUGGAGCUUUCAUCUGCACUCGCAUCCACCCUGUUAUAUGAGCUCCUGUCGACCCCAGAAUUUCAGCAAAAGGCACAACCUUUCCAAGCAACGGAGCCACUGGGGUAGUUGAAGGACGUGGAAGAGCCGGCUUUUUUGGAACCACUCCUCAGCCAGGAAGAACACCAGGCUCUGCAGGAGGAGCUUUAG